Molecule: ribosomal RNA, 369 nt
Filed under: uncultured eukaryote
Lineage: Eukaryota
Description: SSU rRNA
Rfam family: Eukaryotic small subunit ribosomal RNA
Source: RNAcentral
AGCUCCAAUAGCGUAUAUUAAAGUUGUUGCAGUUAAAAAGCUCGUAGUUGAAUUUCUGAUCAAUUCUAGUUUCGGAUUCGUUUGGGCUAGGGUUGGUCAUCCGUCUGCAAGCUAUGCUCGGCCUUCAUUGGUUCGGCAUAGCGAGCUGACAUUUUACUUUGAAAAAAUUAGAGUGUUUCAGGCAGGCUUUUGCCCGAAUACAUUAGCAUGGAAUAAUGGAAUUGGACUCUGGUCCAUUUGGUUGGUUAUUGGAUCUGAGUAAUGGUUAAUAGGGACAGUUGGGGGCAUUAGUAUUUAAUUGUCAGAGGUGAAAUUCUUGGAUUUAUUAAAGACUAACUUAUGCGAAAGCAUUUGCCAAGGAUGUUUUCA